CACGUAGGUGGCAUGGUAAGUCAAAGGUGAAAGCCCUCGGCUCAACCGAGGAAUUGCCUUUGAAACUGCUUUGCUUGAGUCCGGGAGGGGGGAGCGGAAUUCCCAGUGUAGCGGUGAAAUGCGUAGAUACUGGGAGAAACACCGGUGGCGAAGGCGGCUCCCUGGACCGGUACUGACACUGAGGUGCGAAAGCGUGGGUAGCAAACA
Molecule: ribosomal RNA, 207 nt
Filed under: uncultured bacterium
Lineage: Bacteria
Description: partial 16S ribosomal RNA
Rfam family: Bacterial small subunit ribosomal RNA
Source: RNAcentral